This 253-nucleotide ribosomal RNA is filed under the name uncultured bacterium. Its description in RNAcentral is "partial 16S ribosomal RNA". It matches the Rfam family "Bacterial small subunit ribosomal RNA", at positions 524 to 776 of the family's 1533-position model. The record is from RNAcentral.
UACGUAGGUGACAAGCGUUGUCCGGAUUUACUGGGUGUAAAGGGCGCGUAGGCGGGAUGGCAAGUCAGUCGUGAAAUGCCGAGGCUUAACCUCGGAGCUGCGAUUGAAACUGUUAUUCUUGAGUAUCGGAGAGGAAAGCGGAAUUCCUAGUGUAGCGGUGAAAUGCGUAGAUAUUAGGAGGAACACCAGUGGCGAAGGCGGCUUUCUGGACGACAACUGACGCUGAGGCGCGAAAGUGUGGGGAGCAAACAGG